This 253-nucleotide unclassified non-coding RNA is filed under the name uncultured Cellvibrionales bacterium. RNAcentral's name for it is "contains 16S-23S intergenic spacer region". It matches the Rfam family "Bacterial small subunit ribosomal RNA", at positions 524 to 776 of the family's 1533-position model. Lineage: Bacteria; Pseudomonadati; Pseudomonadota; Gammaproteobacteria; Cellvibrionales. The record is from RNAcentral.
UACAGAGGGUGCAAGCGUUAAUCGGAAUUACUGGGCGUAAAGCGCGCGUAGGCGGUUUGUUAAGCUAGAUGUGAAAGCCCAGGGCUCAACCUUGGAACUGCAUUUAGAACUGGCAGACUAGAGUCUGAGAGAGGAGUGGGGAAUUUCCGGUGUAGCGGUGAAAUGCGUAGAGAUCGGAAGGAACACCAGUGGCGAAGGCGACACUCUGGGCCAAUACUGACGCUGAGGUGCGAAAGCGUGGGGAGCAAACAGG